GUGCUAAACUGAUUGUGGAAUUGCAAAAUAUAAAGGAAAUGCUUUCCAAAAAUUGGUUCCUGCAAAGUUUGCAUCAAACAUUUUUGAAAUGCAGUCUGCAGCCAUUCAGUCUGCUCAAGCCUCUGCUUCCCUAAUCCGGCUAAGAAAAAGCCUAAAUCAUGGGUAUUGUCUUACGCAGGCUCUGUAUAUAUGUGGACAGUCUCUCUUCGGCUAGUAAAGAUGGUAACCUGUAAGUACUAGCCUCCAUGGGAAAAUAUUUAUUCCUCAUGUUACUGGGCUUGACUUCAAUGUCUGGUACGGCUGCAGGCCUCUUGAUCGUGGGACAUAUCCACCAUAGUCAUUUUGUACCCUGCACUGCCCCAUAUAUGGGAUUAAAU
Pelobates cultripes (western spadefoot toad) is the source of this 377-nucleotide non-coding RNA. NCBI's taxonomy places the organism in Eukaryota, Metazoa, Chordata, Amphibia, Anura, Pelobatidae. The record is from the annotation of a GenBank genome assembly.